UAUAGUGCGUCUGAGGUCGGCG
Molecule: non-coding RNA, 22 nt
Filed under: Arabidopsis thaliana (thale cress)
Lineage: Eukaryota; Viridiplantae; Streptophyta; Magnoliopsida; Brassicales; Brassicaceae
Source: RNAcentral